This 439-nucleotide long non-coding RNA is filed under the name Homo sapiens (human). Its description in RNAcentral is "HSALNT0181542". The record is from RNAcentral. Lineage: Eukaryota; Metazoa; Chordata; Mammalia; Primates; Hominidae.
GUGAGUUCAACUGUGACCACAGGAUGGAUAAGGUACCAAAAAUUAAAAGCAAAGAUGCUUAAAUCAACUGCAGUCCUUCUGGGCAGAUGUUCCUAAAUGCAAUCCAUCUAAGAGGAAAGAGUUUUUGAGGGAAGGGUGAUCACUGGGCCUCUACAUGCCACACCCGGAAGGCCCAGCAGUGGGGCAAGGAUAGAACACACAGUUUGGCGAUGUGACCCUGCCUGUCUGCACACCUCAGGAUCCCACCACCCAACAGGCAUACAUCUCCUGGAGCUACAGAGAUGCCAAAUGCCAGAGAAGGGAAGCAGGAAGGGAGAUGAAGACAAGGAACUCUGAAAAAUGGAAGCAGAAACACAGGCUGUAUUUUCCCCUAUCCUUCUUUUCUUUGUUCCCUUUUUUCUCUUUUGAAUGAAAAAUAAAAAUGCAGAAAACCUCAGGA